Molecule: unclassified non-coding RNA, 253 nt
Filed under: Patescibacteria group bacterium
Lineage: Bacteria
Description: contains 16S-23S intergenic spacer region
Rfam family: Bacterial small subunit ribosomal RNA
Source: RNAcentral
UACAGAGACCUCAAACGUUGUCCGGAUUCAUUGGGCGUAAAGCGUCCGCAGGUUGUUUCACAAGUGGAUGGUCAAAUCCCGAUGCUCAACGUCGGGACUGCUGUUCAUACUGUGAGACUAGAGGCUGGAAAAGGCAAGUGGAACUGUCGGUGUAGUCGUAAUAAGCGCUGAUAUCGACAGGAACACCAAAUGCGAAGGCAACUUGCUGGUACAUGCCUGACACUCAUGGACGAAAGCGUGGGUAGCGAAUGGG